Monomorium pharaonis (pharaoh ant) is the source of this 714-nucleotide long non-coding RNA. RefSeq lists it as uncharacterized. The transcript is spliced from 3 exons. Lineage: Eukaryota; Metazoa; Arthropoda; Insecta; Hymenoptera; Formicidae. The record is from RefSeq and is a predicted model, not a curated record.
CCACUCCGAAGAAUAGGGGGCACACAAAUAUGGCAGUAGUCGGUGUGAAACAUUGUAGGAGCAACGGCAACAUGCAUGCCCUAAAAGUCCACUCCUCAGACAAUGGAGCGACCACCUGAUUUCUCCACCAAGUUAGAAUACCAACCGGUAUACAAUCGUCCAUUGAAUCCUUGUAAACUUAAGGGACCUAAGAACAAAAUCAUCGUUAGGAGCAACGAUAUCGCAGUCGCCUGUAUCAAGCCUGUCCAUCGAAGGCCCAGCAUUUCCCAGAUGGUUGCCUGUUAGUCCAAAAUACAAGGGUGCUGGUGAAACAAGAGUCAUGACAAAUACGCUAAAAAAUCGUUUCUUUAUAGUCGAUGGAUGCUCUCUGAAACACAAGAUGUCGAGAGUAAAAUUUAACGCUAAAGUAACAUCAAAGGUCGUUUAUAAGUAAAUAUGUUAAUUAUUUGUAAUAUAAUUCUCAACAGUAAUUGAUAAUUAUUUAUCUUAGAUAAACUAUAUGAUUGUCUUAUACGCCUUAUAAUUGUUAUAGUGAUUGAAAAUACGUUUGCUAUAUUAGUUUGCAAAUAUAAUAACUUGUUUAACAAUAAGCCUAUUGAUGAUUAAUUUUUAUUAUUUAAAUACGUCAUAUAUAGACAUAAUUUAAAUAAAGGAGUAGGAGGGAAAAGUAAAAUUAUCAUUGAUGUGUUGCAAUAAACAUCAUGAAACAUCUUA